AUUAUAAAUGCUACAUAUGUUAUUUUUGAUUUCCCAGCGAAGACGAGAGUGAAAAAAAAUCAAUUAACUGCUGUGAAAUCAAUCUUGUUUGUUUCGUUUUUAGUUCCAGCUACAGAAAUUAUUGCUAAAUAACAUGCAAGAAUUUUGAAGAAACCUCACAGAUCCUCGCACAAGUUUGUAUUUUUAGUAGGGAUACAGUAACACGACAAUAACAAUGUGUGUAAGUGUCUGUUUUUUUGUAUGUGUGUGUGUGUGUGUGUGUAUGUAGGGAUAUUAGAGAAAAAUAUUCCGUAUCAAGGCAGGGCUCAGUGAAUCAUUAUUCUUUGAUAGCUGCCAAAGCUCUACCCUCAGGAUACUGCAGAGCUACAGAUACUGGUCUGGUGCAGAGUGCUACUGUACAGUGGAUCAGAGAGUUUGUGCAUCUAUGUGUGUGUGUGUGUGUGUGUGUGUGUGUGUGUGUGUGUGUGUGUGUGUGUGGGAAGGCAGAGGGAGUAAAAUAUGUACGAAAGUAAGAGUCUGAUUGAGUCAUACCUCUAAGUCGGGGUCCAGAACAUCUUUGUGACAACUUGAAUGGUGGAGCAUGAGCAGUGUGUAGGUCUAUGUGCGUACGUCUACUUGUGCAUGAGUGCUCGUACGAAGGAACCGCGAGUGCAGUCGGUGAGUCGCACUGACUCAGAUCGCCGUCGCUCUGCCAAAAAUAUUUUUGCGACAGCUUCAGCAGAAAAGAGGCGGAGAAGUUGAGUGGAAAUGACACACUUGGCUUUACUUAAUGCCAACUCCUGUCCCUGUGGUGUGUGUGCGAGUGUGUGUGUGUGUAACUUGUAUUUGCUUUUGUGUUUUUGUGAUGCCCUCAUUUUCAUCUGAAAGGCCCUUUGGUUGUCCUCAGACCACAAACAAAAUGUUUGACAAAGACAACGUCAGCUCUUGAUGUGUUGGGGCACACAACAUGCGUGUUACAUAACCGACAAUAAAGUGAUGUGUUUAACAAAUAACUUCACUUCUACAAUUGACAACAGAAUGUGCGACAGCACUUCCUAUUAAUCACAUCACAUUGAGUCCUAGAUUUACUCACAUUCUCACAUUGAGCGGUUUCACCUUCAAGUUAAUGAAAAAUGACAGGUCAACCGUCACAUCGAAGGGCUAAAACAGGUUUUCUUGUAAGUGUUCAAUGAUAAAUGAGUCAGGGUCGUAUAGGAGCGCUUCAUCAAUCGCUUAAGAGACAGUGCCAGAUGUUUCAGAUUUAAAGAAACAGGGAAAAGAUUCUGGUGCUCCUUAUUGAGGAUGGUUAAGUUAAAGAAACAAACCAAUCUUGGUUUGUUUCUUUGUUUGUUUUGUGGCGUCCUUCCAGAGUUGUGUUGUUGCCUCUAGUCCCUGAGUAAAAAACUACAAUUACAACAACAGUUGUUGUUUUUUCUCUUAAUUUAAAGGUGUAGUAAAAAGCCCCUUCCUCCAUCACCAGAAUGAGGAGAAGGAAACAAACGUGGAAACUUAAACAUAAUUCAGAUUUAUCCUCCAAUGGAGGUGUUCCAAAUAAAUUGCUUGCGUUGCUGGAUAACUUAUUGUGACAAGAUUGGGAAAUUAUUUUGUAUUUUUGCGUUGGUUUUAUUCAAAUUUUUGAUCCUGCCUGCUGACAGAAAUACAUACAGUACGACACGUGCUGUUGGCGUGUCUUAAAAAUACACCUCAUGUAGUUGGUUCGGUGAAAAUACUUCACCGGAUGAGACUGUUCAAUAUGAAGGUAGGAUUGUACGUUUGUGAAUUUUACAAAGCAUGUCAAUAACAAUCAAGUAGUGUUGAGUACAUUAACAAAUUAAACAUGUGCAAUCAAUCUAAUUAAAUCAAAAUUGAAUAUCUCUGUAAUGUCUAUGACAUUUGUAAUCAUGACUCGUCUAAUGAGGGGGAAGACUUAUUUACUGUGCAUCUCAUAUUUGUUAAUGAGACAUAACAAACGUGGUUGGUAAUGUUGGUGUAAUUUUCCAGAGAAUUAUAAUGAUAAGAUAAUAAUAAUAAUGAUAAUAAUACUGAAACUGUUCCUCCACCUUCUUUAUGCAUGAACUGGUGGUCUGAUCAUUCCUCUUUGUGUGUGCUGAGCGGCUGGGCCGACAGGACUUUGCUUGUUUUUCCGUAUCAUUGACAAUUGACCGGCUCGGGUAAUGGAGUAGUGCAAUGGCCGAGCGAAUGCUCCCCGACCGCUGCAGCUGCUCCUGGCCACAGCAGCUCCUGGCCACAGCAACUGGGGCAGAAAAUUCAACUUAGCGCUUUGUCGUAAUCGGCAAAGAAUCCCGGUUUCCUGUCUUCUUGUUCCUAUUUUUCUCUGCCUCUUUUUCCACAUUCUAAUUUUCAUUUUACAAUGGUGUCUUUCUCAGGUGUGAUUAUUUAAGCCUGGCAACCACCUCAGCCAUGCAUGUUUGUGUAUCCGUGGGCCUGUGUGCACAUUCAGACAUACGUGCACCAGCUCUUACAUGGAGCUUGUCAUCUUGUCACAGGAAUUUGUAAUUACUUCCUCUUGGGAGUCAAACAACAUACCAGCAUGGAGCAUGAUGGUAUUUCUCUGGAGUAAAACAAUUCUCUGAAAUACACAACUUAUUCUGACGCCCAGCUCCCACUUCCUCUCACUCGUCGUCUCCGUCUAGAGGACCAGGUUUAGUGGACCAGCCUUAUCCUCUAGGGACCUGCUCCUUGUUAGAGCUGCUGGUCGGUCAGCUGCACUCAUUCCGUGUUGGUGGGCGAGUCUCUUAUUGUCCCCAUUUGCUGAAGUGAAUGAGUGGUACUUGUGUGCAAUGUAAAUAGUGUUAAACCACAGGACUCUCACAGUGAGGGUCAAUAAGAAUAUCUGGCAAACCUUUAGAUUGUGAAUAUAUGAGUAGGAGGGGAAGGGAGGAGUUUAGGGAAGGAUGAUUAUGACAAGUGGCAGCAGCAGAAGUCCCUGGAAUUAGCUCCUGCAGAAGGGAUGCACGUCAAACUCAUGUCAGCUUUCUCUAAAUCUUCUCGUGUGAAAUUUAGCUGAUUAUGCUUCUGUUGCAAUGCAUAGAUCCAGUCUCCAAGUCAUUGUGUGUGUGUGGCGUUGACUGAAAGCCACUUAGCAUGCAUGCUAAGUGGCUUUCAGCCAACGCCACACACGCACACACAAAAACCAACUCACAUUCCCUCUUCCUUAAAUUACUUUUUGAUUGUAAAACAAAUAAUUCCAGAUUAAGUACCGCACCUUAAUCUUAAAAGGGUUUGUCACUUCCAAAAGAGUUGAGUGACCUAAACUCCUCCACCUUUUAUAACGCAGGGUUUUCUACUAUAAUUGUUAAGUCUUUAAGCCCAAAAUGAGAUAACCCUGAUUACAUUAUCACGGUCAUUUCCUCAAAGCUGUGCUUUCAAGUGGCCGUGCCCUCUUGGUGACGAGUAAAUUGGUCUUCCUAUGCCGUCAACCUUCAAUUAACAGUGAUCUUGAUGCUAUGUACAAGGUGGCCUCUUGGCCUGACGGGGUUCAACCUGAGCUAAAAUGUUCAGAGAUAAAAGAAGAAGUAAAAGAAGUAAAAUGUGGAUGAAUAGAGAAGGUGAACACAUAAUAAAACUAUGUAAAGUUGAAGAAAUAAAAAUUAUAAAGGAAAGAAAGAAAAAUGGUUCAAAAAUGGUUCAAAAAUUUGGUCCAGAAUAUCUUUCUCUUUUGUAUUCAAAGCACAGCUUGUUCUCAUAACAUGGAUUGGAAGUAGAAUGAGGCUAAUUACUGAAGUAGUCUGCAAUUUAAAAACCAUCCAGAAUGUAAAUGUACCUCCAGCAUUAGACAACAAGACUGAAGCAAUUUGUGUGCACUGACACAGAAGAGUUUAUUUUGGUAUAUUAAAUAAGCAGGAAGGUUGUGUGUGUGUGUGUGUGACAGACAGGAUGGGCUCCCUUAGGCCCUGGUCCUGCCAACAGCGGAGCAGCGAUCAGGUGCCUGAGCAGACCGCCUCUAAUGAGAUGCUCAAAGCCAACAGGGCAUCCGAGUGCCAUGUGACCCGCCUGUGUGCAACGACGGCGUUAUGUGUCCAUGUCGGUGGUGAACGAACCAUCGAAUCCCAUGCAUUCGUUUGUGCGGGGGAGCAGAAUGAUUCACCUAGCAGUGCUUCUUCCAGCUGCUGUUAGAUGAAAAUUAAUUACGCAGGGAGAAAGAGAGAGAGGGACAGAGAGGGGGAGAGGGAGACUCUUUCCUGGCUCGCCUCAAGUUUUUUUUUACGAGUCAUAACUGCUUAUUUGAUUGCAUGAAUAAAUAACCCAGUAUUCUGUUCUAUUUGUGUGAUACUCUGGCUGUCGGCCCUUUGCACCUCCAUAAAUCCAUUCCCUUUCUUCUCAUAUGCAAAUUGAAGCGGAGGAGAUGCAUACUUCUCAGCUUCCCAACAGUGUAAGGAAACUCUAUAAGAUCAAUAACCACAUCCCCCUCAUCAGCUAAGCUUGUACGGCAAGUAAUUGAAUUGAUUGUGCCGUAGUAAGUGCUCGGCCUCGCCACUUCACUUAUUAUUAGCAAAAGGUGAGAGCCUCGGAAUAUACUGCAUGUAAAAUAAAAGCACAACCCCUCCCAGCCUUCUGGGGAAUUAGGCUCUAAUCAUCCAUGAUACCCACAUUAAGGGUUUUAAUCAGAUUUGGUGUCAGGAUGUGAUGUGGCACAAUGUAUUCUUCCAGUCAUCUGGGAUAAUUUCUUCACUUGAGUGUCCUCACAUCAUUGGAAUGGAUUCAUUUUGGCGUAAAACCUCCUUUGUGUGUGCUGCCUUAUCCAUAGCCUCCCGUGACAUUUACGGGAUUAUGGCGUGACACGACCUGGUGUGUGGCUGAAUGAAGGAAGCAUUAAAUUGCUCCUGAAUGAUUUCCAACAAUCUGCCGACUCACUUCCGAUAAACAAAAACAUGGAAACAUGGGGUCCAGGUUAAAAACUAAGAAUUUGUUUACAGUUUUGAAGCCUGCUUCAGUUGUUUGGCUUAAUGGGUUCAUAUUGUUCUCUGUCCUAAAGCAAUUAUGACUUUUAUGACUAUUGGAUCCUACUCGGUUAUAUCAGGCAAGACCUUUGCUCGUUGUUUUCAUCUCACACUCCGUCCGAC
Long non-coding RNA from Gasterosteus aculeatus aculeatus (three-spined stickleback), 5063 nucleotides. NCBI's taxonomy places the organism in Eukaryota, Metazoa, Chordata, Actinopteri, Perciformes, Gasterosteidae. The record is from Ensembl.